AACGAACGCUGGCGGCAUGCCUAACACAUGCAAGUCGAACGAGACCUUCGGGUCUAGUGGCGCACGGGUGCGUAACGCGUGGGAACCUGCCCUUAGGUUCGGAAUAACUCCCCGAAAGGGGUGCUAAUACCGGAUAAUGUCUUCGGACCAAAGAUUUAUCGCCUUUGGAUGGGCCCGCGUUGGAUUAGCUAGUUGGUAGGGUAAACGCCUACCAAGGCGACGAUCCAUAGCUGGUCUGAGAGGAUGAUCCGCGACACUGGGACUGGGAAACGGUCCAGACUCCUACGGAAGGCAGGAGUGGGGAAUAUUGGACAAUGGGCGAAAGCCUGAUCCAGCAAUGCCGCGUGAGUGAUGAAGGCCUUAGGGUUGUAAAGUGCUUUUAACUGGGAUGAUAAUGACAGUACCGGGAGAAUAAGCUCCGGCUAACUCCGUG
This 433-nucleotide ribosomal RNA is filed under the name uncultured bacterium. RNAcentral's name for it is "partial 16S ribosomal RNA". It matches the Rfam family "Bacterial small subunit ribosomal RNA", at positions 29 to 507 of the family's 1533-position model. The record is from RNAcentral.